RNAcentral lists this small RNA (687 nucleotides) under Pongo abelii (Sumatran orangutan). RNAcentral's name for it is "retained intron". Lineage: Eukaryota; Metazoa; Chordata; Mammalia; Primates; Hominidae. The record is from RNAcentral.
AUACAUUGGAUAUGUGCAGGUUCCCAUUCGUUUCCUGGGGAGCCAUGUGUCCCUGAGACCAGAGAGUCUCCUCACCUAGCUCAGACUUGAAUGCUUUUGUUUUUGUUUCAGGGCAUUUGCACGUCAAAGGCAAAGAAGAAAAAAUGUCCAAAUCAUUAAAAAACUACAUUACUAUUAAGCCAUCGACUACAGCGACAGCGCCAUGCUCCAAGCUCAGCAGCUGCUCCUGGGACUGGGCUCUUUCCUGGAGGACGCACGUGCCUAUAUGAAGGGGCAGCUGGCCUGCGGCUCCGUCAGGGAAGCGAUGCUGUGGGAGAGGUAAGAGGCCCGCCUGGCACCCGGCGUGGCGCCCCUCCUGCGGCCUGCUGGGUGCUGCUGGUGGGCUCCUGAAGGUGAAGAGGGGCCCCCAGGAGACAGGGCACUGGACAGGAGGUUUGGGGUCAGGGACUUCCCAGAGAGGCCCCAGGAGACAGGGUGCUGGGCAGGAGGUGCAGGUGUGGGGUCAGGGGCUCCCCAGAGGCCACAGGAGACUGGGGGCUGGACAGGAGGUGUGGGGUCAGGGGCUCCCGAGAUGUACCAGGGAGACAGCGCUGGGCAGGAAGUGUGCCUGGGGCCCUCGGGCUCUGAGCCCCCUGCUCAGAGUGGCUUUGGGCUCGGCUUCCCUGUGCGAGGAGCGGAGCUGCUCAU